This 468-nucleotide ribosomal RNA is filed under the name uncultured bacterium. RNAcentral's name for it is "partial 16S ribosomal RNA". It matches the Rfam family "Bacterial small subunit ribosomal RNA", at positions 28 to 507 of the family's 1533-position model. The record is from RNAcentral.
GACGAACGCUGGCGGCGUGCUUAACACAUGCAAGUCGAACGGAAAGGCUCUGCUUUUGCGGGGUGCUCGAGUGGCGAACGGGUGAGUAACACGUGAGUAACCUGCCCUUGACUUUGGGAUAACUUCAGGAAACUGGGGCUAAUACAGUAUAGGAGCUCCUGCUGCAUGUUGGGGGUUGGAAAGUUUCGGCGGUUGGGGAUGGACUCGCGGCUUAUCAGCUUGUUGGUGGGGUAGUGGCUUACCAAGGCUUUGACGGGUAGCCGGCCUGAGAGGGUGACCGGCCACAUUGGGACUGAGAUACGGCCCAGACUCCUACGGGAGGCAGCAGUGGGGAAUAUUGCACAAUGGGCGGAAGCCUGAUGCAGCAACGCCGCGUGCGGGAUGACGGCCUUCGGGUUGUAAACCGCUUUCGCCUGUGACGAAGCGUGAGUGACGGUAAUGGGUAAAGAAGCACCGGCUAACUACGUG